ACGAAAGGUGCGAGCGUUAAUCGGAAUUACUGGGCGUAAAGCGCGCGCAGGCGGUUUCCUAAGUCAGAUGUGAAAGCCCCGGGCUUAACCUGGGAACUGCAUUUGAAACUGGGAGGCUUGAAUGCGGCAGAGGGGGGUGGAAUUUCACGUGUAGCGGUGAAAUGCGUAGAGAUCGGGAGGAACACCGAUGGCGAAGGCAGCCCCCUGGGUCGACACUGACGCUCAUGCACGAAAGCGUGGGGAGCAAACAG
Molecule: ribosomal RNA, 251 nt
Filed under: uncultured prokaryote
Description: partial 16S ribosomal RNA
Rfam family: Bacterial small subunit ribosomal RNA
Source: RNAcentral